AAGCAGGGGAAGGUGAAAGAAACAAAGUGUGUCUAUUCCUCUUAAUUGUAAGCAGAACAAAUUGUUACUUAAAAACUCAGUUCUUCGUACAAAAAUAAGUAUGUGCCAUAGACUAAAUGUCCAAAUGCACGUUAGACUAAAUGUACAAAUGCACGUAUAAAAGUAUGUCAAUAAGAAAAAAUUCUGCGUGUAUAUAUAAUUUCCAGCUAUCGAAAUAUGGAAACUUAUGCUUAAGUUUACAAAAGUACAAAUUUUUUGUUAAGCAUGAUGAAGUUUGUACUAGCAAUACUUCAGAGAUUCUAUGGAGUAAUUUAAAUAAUAAUUACAUGACUUCUAGUUACACAUCUGCAACCGUAAGGAACAAUUUCCCUGUCGGGCAGUAUCCCACAAAAAGUUUGGACUGUAGAAUUCUUGAAGAACCAAUUCAAGUCACUCAAAAAGCUGCAUAGUUUCAUCAAUGCCCAAUACAUCAAUCUCUUAGGCUUACAACAUGGGUUGCAGUAGGGAGUAAGGGGGAAAACAGCAUGAGAAAUAGACAAGUGAUGAAAUUAAAAAAAAAAAAAAAGUGUUUGGCUAUGGAGGAAACAGAAAAUGUGGUGGAGACCAAGACUAAAUCUUACAGCAGAUUGUGCAAACAUGCCAGUUUUUUCCACAAUUGAUGGUUUAAUAUUUUUCUGUAUCAAUCAAACUUGAAGAUGCAAUUCCUAAUAGAAUACUUCCUCAUGCUCCACUGCACAAAUUUUAGACAAAACAUGCAAUCUCAUCUAGAAAGCAAUCAAGCAAUCUACUGCUUGGCCACAAAAUACUCAAAUACUACCACAUAUACAAAAACAUGAACCAAAUGAACAAGUUUGGCAGCAAAAUUAAACAGAUAAGAAAUGCCUAACAGUCCUCCUAAAAUGUUUCACUUCACUGACGAAACAGAUGGUUGGUCACAUAAGGAUGAUAGACAAUCAAAUGUUUUACCUGGGCAAUCACAAAUUCAUAGUUAGACUUGAAUUGGCUUCUCAGCUUACUCU
This 1019-nucleotide long non-coding RNA is filed under the name Coffea arabica (coffee). Its description in RNAcentral is "long non-coding RNA (CARA_LNC002903)". Lineage: Eukaryota; Viridiplantae; Streptophyta; Magnoliopsida; Gentianales; Rubiaceae. The record is from RNAcentral.